UACUUUUCGAAUCGCAUGAACUUUACGUCCGGCGAUGGUUCAUUCAAAUUUCUGCCCUAUCAAGUUUCGAUGGUAGGAUAGAGGCCUACCAUGCGUUUUUACGGGUAACGGCGAAUUAGGGUUCGAUUCCGGAGAGGGAGCCUGAGAAACGGCUACCACAUCUAAGGAAGGCAGCAGGCGCCGCAAAUUACCCAAUCCUGAUUCAGGGAGGUAGUGACAAUAAAUAACAAUCCAGGACUUCGGUCUUGGAAUUGGAAUGAGAACAAUUUAAAUCUCUUAUCGAGGAACAAUUGGAGGGCAAGUCUGGUGCCAGCAGCCGCGGUAAUUCCAGCUCCAAUAGCGUAUAUUAACAGUUGUUGCAGUUAAAUAGCUCGUAGUUGAAUCUUGGGGCUGGUUUGGCGGUCGCGUCUUUGACGUGUACUGUCGGCGGUUCUUUUACUUGUGGGGAACGUAUGUUGCCCUUUGCGGGGUGUGUACGGGAACCAUGGCUGUUACUUUGAAAAAAAUUAGAGUGUUUAAAGCGGGCGUCAAGUUGUAUACAUUAGCAUGGAAUAAUUAGAAUAGGACUUUGGGUUAAUAUGUGGUCUAGGGCCGAAGUA
Molecule: ribosomal RNA, 599 nt
Filed under: uncultured fungus
Lineage: Eukaryota; Fungi
Description: SSU rRNA
Rfam family: Eukaryotic small subunit ribosomal RNA
Source: RNAcentral